This 253-nucleotide ribosomal RNA is filed under the name uncultured bacterium. RNAcentral describes it as "partial 16S ribosomal RNA". It matches the Rfam family "Bacterial small subunit ribosomal RNA", at positions 524 to 776 of the family's 1533-position model. The record is from RNAcentral.
UACGUAGGGGGCAAGCGUUGUCCGGAUUUACUGGGCGUAAAGAGCGCGUAGGCGGAAGUUUAAGCGGGGCCUGAAAGCCCCCGGCUCAACCGGGGAAGGUGGCUGCGAACUGGGCUUCUUGAGGGGGGUAGAGGAGAGUGGAAUUCCUGGUGUAGCGGUGAAAUGCGUAGAGAUCAGGAGGAACACCCGUGGCGAAGGCGGCUCUCUGGGCCCGCCCUGACGCUGAGGCGCGAAAGCGUGGGGAGCGAACGGG